AAAGGGUCGCGGCAUUAGGAAGGUUGAGAACUACUGGUCUAGAUAGAAGUAAAGUGCUGAGGAGGUUUAGGAUGAUUAAAUUACUCAUAAGUUGGGGUAUCCUGGACUGCUUCCUGGAGGAAGUGGCCUAUGCUUUGUAUCUUAAAAAAUAGGAUGAGGGGCAUUGGAAAUGUGGUGAGUCAUGGGGCCGGGAGGAUGGAAGUACCCAUGGCAUUUAAGUCAUAGGCUGUCGAACUUGCGGUCCUCAUUCAGGGAAAUGAUUUGGACCCCAGGGUGUGUGACUGGGAGGAGUAUAAGAAGCGACUGAAGGAGGAGGCUUGAAGCUAUGUCACAAGACCCUUAGAUAAAGGACUCUGGACUUAACUUUAGACAAUGGAAGGCAUUAAAAUGCUCUUGAGCAGAGAAGGGACAUUAAGGUUCUCCUAUACAAAGAUGGCUCUGGCCAAAGUGUGGAGAGUGGGUUGUAGGAUUUGAAGGCAGAGAGCCCAGUUAGGAGGUUCAAGCCAGUAGGAGGUUCCUCAGUGACAGGUGUAGGCUGAUACUCUCCCGGAAGCACCUGCCCAGAACCAGCUCACCUGGGCACUGACUGCGCACUGUCCAGUGAUCCAAGUUUAGUGGAAACCUGCCUUCCCUUUCAUGUACCCGCUGUGGCCUAGAGUCUAAGGAAUCAUUGUGAUGUUGACCAUAUUUACCUUCCAAGCCUCAUUUCCACCUUUCAGAUCAGCCCUCAAAUCUGCAGCCAAAUCUUAGCUCAUUGCAGGCUUGAUUUACUCACUCUUGCCCCUCAGGCUCCUCUCUGAGAGAGAGAGAGAGAGAGGAGAGAGAGAGAGAGAGAGAGAGAGUUUUCUUAACUCUGCAGAGCAGGCUGUGCCCUAUCAUGUUCUGAAGAAAUGAUGAACAAUGUCUCCUUUGUUGACCUGCAACCUGGGCCAAUGGGAUAGUACUUUGUUUUGUUAUUUUAAAGAGAUGGAAAAGUGAUGAUGACAGAAAAUUGUCUGUUGCUUUUGAAAAUGGUGGUGUUUUCCUGUGUGUUUGAAAUCCUCUUGGUGAAAGGUGAUGAGCCUGUGAAGUUACCCUCCUUUCUGCUUUGCAGACGUUUUAGGCUUCUUAAAAUGCUUCUGCUCAGCAUCCGACUUUUUAAAAACUGCCUAAAUACUCUGACCCAGAUUCUUCCAAGGAACUAAACUCUUCCAGGGAGGCAUGUUAACCCUUUCUAGGUUCCCCCAAAUUUAUGAGAGUCAGUAACUUCCUCCAGGAAGUUCUGCUAUUGACUGCUGUCUGCUCUUGGGCCCUAAUUAACUAGCUGGGUAUACCAUUCCUGUCCUUUCUAGCCUAAAAGUCUUUUAUUUUUGGUCUAACUUCCAUCUCCUCAGGAUUGGGCACCCUGAAGGUGCAUGGCGAAUGUUGAAUGAGUGUUGAAUAUAGUCAAGUUAGGGUCUCACUGCAGUGCCUACAGCAGCCUCCUCAGUCAGUUAAUCAGCAACUUGUUUCUGGCUACUUUCAGAGUGCUUAGAUUGGGAGAAUGAGCAACUAACUCUCUCUCUCUCUCUCUCUCUCUCUCUCACACACACACACACACACACACACACACACACACACACACACACCACACUUUUAGAUAGAGGGGUCAGUUAAGUAACCAAAAAUUUGCCAUGAAUUUGUGUUUGGGCCAAACAAACAAAGAUAAAAACCAACCCAGGAAGUUGUGGCCCUCCACCCUAACUGUUUAAGAAGAAAGCUUCUUUGCAAAUGUGCUCACAGACUAUUUUUCAGUAUCCUUUUCCUGGGCAGCGAAAAUAGCACCACGUUCACACACUCUCCACCCCUUUCUCAAAUGGAGAAUUAAGCUCCUAAACUCGAGAAAAGACUUUGGCUUUGGAAGGCUCCUCUUAGAUCGCAACGGCCUUUAUUUUUCAGUCAUCCCCCUUUCUCACCCAAAGCAGAGAGAAUAUUGGACCGUGUUCAUCAGCGGUCACGUCUUUGAUCCCACUGUGAGACCAGCAACUCACAAGGCAUCUUUGCUACUGUAUCAUGCCCCGUUAUUAGGACCAGAGGCUGCUGUUUCCUCUUUCCCCUUUUCUGCCCCCAAGAAGGGCUAUUCUCUGUCUUAUUGCUUCACCUGUUUGCUUUAAACCUUAAAACAAAUAAUGCAGCUACAUGUAGUGAGACUCCCCUUUGUCCUGGAGUAUCUGAAUGAUUUGUGGGUUUGGUUUAAAGCUGCAGAAAGGAGAGAGAGCGAGAGAAGAAGAAAAAAGAUUCCCUGCAGCCUGCCAGAGACGUGGUCGCUGCCCUGCCAAGAGCUAUCUGGGAGAGCUAUUGAAAGAGCCUUGAACAUUUCCUGAAUACCCCCUACAGGCCAUGCACUGUGUGACGUGCUGGAGAAAUAGAGACAAGGCCACAGUUCCGUGACACUAAUGUGACUUGUGCCUAAGGAGAGGUGUUGCUGGAGUUUGGGGUGAAUAAGACGGACAUAGCCCCUGGCCUCGUGGCGUUUAUGAUCCACAGGGAAGAGAAACCUGUUAUGAUGGAGUUCAAGGAAAUGUGGUGAGCUAUAUUCGUUCUCCCAUGGUCCUCCAUGCCUCAUGGUCCACCUGGCCCAGGACUGGAUGGCUCCUUGGUACCUGAGAUAUCCUUGUCUUGCAUUUAUCCGUGCCUUCAUUUGCAAACAUUUGCUAAACCCCAUGUUAUGUGUCAUGUUGAAUGAAUUGUGUCCCAGACUCUGUGCUAA
Myotis davidii is the source of this 2728-nucleotide long non-coding RNA. RefSeq lists it as uncharacterized. Lineage: Eukaryota; Metazoa; Chordata; Mammalia; Chiroptera; Vespertilionidae. The record is from RefSeq and is a predicted model, not a curated record. The transcript has 4 exons.